Molecule: transfer RNA, 74 nt
Filed under: Anaeroplasmataceae bacterium
Lineage: Bacteria; Bacillati; Mycoplasmatota; Mollicutes; Anaeroplasmatales; Anaeroplasmataceae
Description: tRNA-Gly
Rfam family: tRNA
About the family: Transfer RNA (tRNA) molecules are approximately 80 nucleotides in length.
Source: RNAcentral
GCAGGCGUAGUUUAAUGGUAGAACCCCAGCUUCCCAAGCUGUUGGUACGGGUUCGAUUCCCGCCGCUUGCUCCA